RNAcentral lists this ribosomal RNA (417 nucleotides) under uncultured bacterium. Its description in RNAcentral is "partial 16S ribosomal RNA". It matches the Rfam family "Bacterial small subunit ribosomal RNA", at positions 360 to 774 of the family's 1533-position model. The record is from RNAcentral.
AAUAUUGGUCAAUGGAGGCAACUCUGAACCAGCCAAGUCGCGUGAAGGAUGUCUGCCCUACGUGUUGUAAACUUCUUUUUUAAGGGAAUAAAGUGAGCCACGUGUGGCUUCUUGCAUGUACCUUACGAAUAAGUAUCGGCUAACUCCUCGCCAGGAGCUGCGGUAAUACGGAGGAUCCGAGCGUUAUCCGGAUUUAUUGGGUUUAAAGGGUGCGCAGGCGGAAUAUUAAGUCGGCGGUGAAAGUUUGCAGCUUAACUGUAAAAUUGCCGUUGAAACUGGUUUCCUUGAGUGUAUAUGAAGUAGGCGGAAUUUGUAGUGUAGCGGUGAAAUGCAUAGAUAUUACAAGGAACUCCGAUUGCGAAGGCAGCUUACUAAAAUACAACUGACGCUCAGGCACGAAGGCGUGGGUAUCAAACA